ACGGUGGAUGCCCUGGCAGUCAGAGGCGAUGAAGGGCGUGCUAAUCUGCGAUAAGCGCCGGUAAGGUGAUAUGAACCGUUAUAACCGGCGAUACCCGAAUGGGGAAACCCAGUGUGACUCGUCACACUAUCAUUAACUGAAUCCAUAGGUUAAUGAGGCGAACCGGGGGAACUGAAACAUCUAAGUACCCCGAGGAAAAGAAAUCAACCGAGAUUCCCCCAGUAGCGGCGAGCGAACGGGGAGGAGCCCAGAGCCUGAAUCAGCAUGUGUGUUAGUGGAAGCGUCUGGAAAGGCGCGCGAUACAGGGUGACAGCCCCGUACACAAAAGCGCAUGUGCUGUGAGCUCGAUGAGUAGGGCGGGACACGUGGUAUCCUGUCUGAAUAUGGGGGGACCAUCCUCCAAGGCUAAAUACUCCUGACUGACCGAUAGUGAACCAGUACCGUGAGGGAAAGGCGAAAAGAACCCCGGCGAGGGGAGUGAAAAAGAACCUGAAACCGUGUACGUACAAGCAGUGGGAGCACCCUUUGGGUGUGACUGCGUACCUUUUGUAUAAUGGGUCAGCGACUUAUAUUCUGUAGCAAGGUUAACCGAAUAGGGGAGCCGGAGGGAAACCGAGUCUUAAUUGGGCGUUAAGUUGCAGGGUAUAGACCCGAAACCCGGUGAUCUAGCCAUGGGCAGGUUGAAGGUUGGGUAACACUAACUGGAGGACCGAACCGACUAAUGUUGAAAAAUUAGCGGAUGACCUGUGGCUGGGGGUGAAAGGCCAAUCAAACCGGGAGAUAGCUGGUUCUCCCCGAAAGCUAUUUAGGUAGCGCCUCGUGAAUUCAUCUCCGGGGGUAGAGCACUGUUUCGGCUAGGGGGCCAUCCCGGCUUACCAACCCGAUGCAAACUGCGAAUACCGGAGAAUGUUAUCACGGGAGACACACGGCGGGUGCUAACGUCCGUCGUGAAGAGGGAAACAACCCAGACCGCCAGCUAAGGUCCCAAAGUCAUGGUUAAGUGGGAAACGAUGUGGGAAGGCCCAGACAGCCAGGAUGUUGGCUUAGAAGCAGCCAUCAUUUAAAGAAAGCGUAAUAGCUCACUGGUCGAGUCGGCCUGCGCGGAAGAUGUAACGGGGCUAAACCAUGCACCGAAGCUGCGGCAGCGACGCUUAUGCGUUGUUGGGUAGGGGAGCGUUCUGUAAGCCUGCGAAGGUGGCCUGUGAGGGUUGCUGGAGGUAUCAGAAGUGCGAAUGCUGACAUAAGUAACGAUAAAGCGGGUGAAAAGCCCGCUCGCCGGAAGACCAAGGGUUCCUGUCCAACGUUAAUCGGGGCAGGGUGAGUCGACCCCUAAGGCGAGGCCGAAAGGCGUAGUCGAUGGGAAACGGGUUAAUAUUCCCGUACUUGGUGUUACUGCGAAGGGGGGACGGAGAAGGCUAUGUUGGCCGGGCGACGGUUGUCCCGGUUUAAGCGUGUAGGCUGGUUUUCCAGGCAAAUCCGGAAAAUCAAGGCUGAGGCGUGAUGACGAGGCACUACGGUGCUGAAGCAACAAAUGCCCUGCUUCCAGGAAAAGCCUCUAAGCAUCAGGUAACAUCAAAUCGUACCCCAAACCGACACAGGUGGUCAGGUAGAGAAUACCAAGGCGCUUGAGAGAACUCGGGUGAAGGAACUAGGCAAAAUGGUGCCGUAACUUCGGGAGAAGGCACGCUGACACGUAGGUGAAGUGAUUUACUCACGGAGCUGAAGUCAGUCGAAGAUACCAGCUGGCUGCAACUGUUUAUUAAAAACACAGCACUGUGCAAACACGAAAGUGGACGUAUACGGUGUGACGCCUGCCCGGUGCCGGAAGGUUAAUUGAUGGGGUCAGCGCAAGCGAAGCUCCUGAUCGAAGCCCCGGUAAACGGCGGCCGUAACUAUAACGGUCCUAAGGUAGCGAAAUUCCUUGUCGGGUAAGUUCCGACCUGCACGAAUGGCGUAAUGAUGGCCAGGCUGUCUCCACCCGAGACUCAGUGAAAUUGAACUCGCUGUGAAGAUGCAGUGUACCCGCGGCAAGACGGAAAGACCCCGUGAACCUUUACUAUAGCUUGACACUGAACAUUGAGCCUUGAUGUGUAGGAUAGGUGGGAGGCUUUGAAGCGUGGACGCCAGUCUGCGUGGAGCCGACCUUGAAAUACCACCCUUUAAUGUUUGAUGUUCUAACGUGGACCCGUUACCCGGGUUGCGGACAGUGUCUGGUGGGUAGUUUGACUGGGGCGGUCUCCUCCUAAAGAGUAACGGAGGAGCACGAAGGUUGGCUAAUCCUGGUCGGACAUCAGGAGGUUAGUGCAAUGGCAUAAGCCAGCUUGACUGCGAGCGUGACGGCGCGAGCAGGUGCGAAAGCAGGUCAUAGUGAUCCGGUGGUUCUGAAUGGAAGGGCCAUCGCUCAACGGAUAAAAGGUACUCCGGGGAUAACAGGCUGAUACCGCCCAAGAGUUCAUAUCGACGGCGGUGUUUGGCACCUCGAUGUCGGCUCAUCACAUCCUGGGGCUGAAGUAGGUCCCAAGGGUAUGGCUGUUCGCCAUUUAAAGUGGUACGCGAGCUGGGUUUAGAACGUCGUGAGACAGUUCGGUCCCUAUCUGCCGUGGGCGCUGGAGAACUGAGGGGGGCUGCUCCUAGUACGAGAGGACCGGAGUGGACGCAUCACUGGUGUUCGGGUUGUCAUGCCAAUGGCACUGCCCGGUAGCUAAAUGCGGAAGAGAUAAGUGCUGAAAGCAUCUAAGCACGAAACUUGCCCCGAG
This 2756-nucleotide ribosomal RNA is filed under the name Salmonella enterica subsp. enterica serovar Enteritidis. RNAcentral describes it as "partial 23S ribosomal RNA". It matches the Rfam family "Bacterial large subunit ribosomal RNA". Lineage: Bacteria; Pseudomonadati; Pseudomonadota; Gammaproteobacteria; Enterobacterales; Enterobacteriaceae. The record is from RNAcentral.